This 1365-nucleotide ribosomal RNA is filed under the name Triticum aestivum (bread wheat). RNAcentral's name for it is "partial small subunit ribosomal RNA". Lineage: Eukaryota; Viridiplantae; Streptophyta; Magnoliopsida; Poales; Poaceae. The record is from RNAcentral.
AUGGAGUCGGAUCAGGGCAAGCUCUUCAUCGGCGGCAUCUCCUGGGAGACGACGGAGGAGAAGCUGCAGGAGCACUUCUCCAACUUCGGCGAGGUCUCCCAGGCCGCCGUCAUGCGCGACAAGCUCACUGGCCGCCCGCGGGGCUUCGGCUUCGUAGUCUACGCCGACCCCGCCGCCGUCGACGCCGCCCUCCAGGAGCCCCACACCCUCGACGGCCGCACGGUCGAUGUGAAGCGGGCGCUCUCGCGGGAGGAGCAGCAGGCUACCAAGGCGGUGAACCCUAGCGCAGGAAGGAACGCUGGAGGUGGUGGCGGCGGCGGCGGCGGCGGCGGCGAUGCCGGUGGUGCUAGGACAAAGAAGAUUUUUGUGGGCGGACUGCCCUCCAGUCUGACAGAUGAGGAGUUCCGGCAGUACUUCCAGACCUUCGGGGCUGUCACCGAUGUUGUGGUGAUGUAUGACCAGACAACACAGCGUCCCCGGGGCUUCGGCUUCAUUACCUUUGACUCGGAGGAUGCGGUUGACCGUGUGCUGCACAAAACCUUCCACGAUCUUGGAGGGAAGAUGGUAGAGGUGAAGCGUGCUCUGCCCCGAGAGGCGAAUCCUGGCUCUGGCGGCGGCGGCCGUUCCAUGGGAGGUGGGGGUUUUCAUAGUAACAAUGGACCCAACUCCAAUGCUAGCAGCUAUGAUGGCAGAGGCGAUGCUAGCAGAUAUGGGCAGGCGCAGCAAGGCAGUGGUGGCUACCCAGGUUAUGGUGCUGGAGCUUAUGGCAGUGCUCCAACUGGGUAUGGAUAUGGGCACACCAAUCCUGGAACUACAUAUGGAAAUUAUGGGUCUGCAGGGUAUGGAGCUGUUCCUGCUGCGUAUGCUGGGGCUUAUGGCAAUCCAAGUGCUGCUGCUUCCGGUUACCAGGGUGGCCCUCCAGGCGCUAAUAGAGGACCCUGGGGCAGUCAAGCUCCGUCUGGUUAUGGCACUGGGGGUUAUGCUGGCAAUGCAGGCUAUGGUGCAUGGAAUAGCUCUUCUGCUGGUGGGAAUGCACCCACUAGUCAGGCACCUGGUGCAGCUGCAGGUUAUGGAAACCAGGGCUAUGGUUAUGGUGGAUAUGGAGGAGAUGCAUCAUAUGGUAAUCAUGGAGGGUAUGGUGCUUAUGGUGGCCGGGGAGAUGGUGCUGGAAAUCCUGCUACUGGUGCAGCCUCUGGGUAUGGUGCUGCUGGAUAUGGAAGUGGGAAUGGAAACUCUGGAUAUCCAAAUGCGUGGACUGAUCCUUCACAAGGCGGGGGAUUUGGUGGUGCAGUCAAUGGAGCUUCUGAGGGCCAAUCAAAUUAUGGCAGUGGUUAUGGUGGUAUGCAGCCUAGGGUUGCUCAGUAG